AUGACCCUUGCUAAAAUCUGGGAUCAGAAUACUAUAAAAUUGACUUUCAGGAGGAUCUUUACCCCCACUAUGAUGGAGAGCUGGUAUUGCCUUGAGCAAAUUAUUACUAGCACCAUCUACUCAGCAGGGGAGGACAAUCUAAUUUGGCAGCAUGAAUCCAAGGGGGAGUACACAACUGGGUCCCUCUAUAGUAUAAUUAACUUUAGAGGAGUGCAACCGGUUUACAUCCCCUCGGUUUGGUCUGUUAAUGUGCCCCCUAGAGUGCAGGUGUUCCUGUGGCUUCUCUCUCACAAUAAGCUCAUGACUAGAGAUAACCUCUCUAAAAGAGGCAUUGAAAGAUCUCUGGAAUGUGUUUACUGCUCUGAGAAAGAAUCAAUACAUCAUCUUUUUUCGACUGUAUUGUUGCAAAACAGAUGUGGAGCUCUGUUUCAGAAUUUUUCUCCUGUACUUUAG
This 453-nucleotide ribosomal RNA is filed under the name Triticum aestivum (bread wheat). Its description in RNAcentral is "partial small subunit ribosomal RNA". The record is from RNAcentral. Lineage: Eukaryota; Viridiplantae; Streptophyta; Magnoliopsida; Poales; Poaceae.